This is a long non-coding RNA of Limulus polyphemus (Atlantic horseshoe crab), 1102 nucleotides long. RefSeq lists it as uncharacterized. The transcript has 3 exons. Lineage: Eukaryota; Metazoa; Arthropoda; Merostomata; Xiphosura; Limulidae. The record is from RefSeq and is a predicted model, not a curated record.
AUAAGCUCGCAUACAGGAAAGGCAGAAGCUAGUGUUAACAAAGGUUUCACAACAAAACAACACUAUUUUCUUAAUCUGACUUUCUAACCUAUGUUUAUUCGUCAGGAAAGUUCCAAACGCUCAUUACAUGUUCAAGAGAGAUAGGGGGUAAAACAUCUAUUCGUAUUUGGGAGGUAUCAUAAUUUAUGACAGGGAAGUUUUGACUAUCCAGGAGAUAAGAAAUUCACAGAAAUGUCUUCACUUUGGAAAAUCGUCAUAUUUUUGAGCUUCGUUUUAAUCAUAAGUGGAAACGGAGAGAACCAGUAUGCCUGGAAAACAUCAAUGCUGAUCCCUAUGCCGAAAAGAUAUUGUUAAAAGUAGCGGAUAUUAUUGAUGAACCUAUUCAUCUCCCGGAUUACUAUAAAGGAAGACUUUUGGAUCUGUACAAUGGCACUCUCAUGGGUGUACGCAGUCUCCACCGUUCGGGUCACUCUGUAGUAAAAUGUGAAAAGGAUGCCCUUUACCACGAAAUUCCCAUUGCAAUUACAGACGUUUUUGCUGAAUACCGCUGGCAAUUGCACUUCUUAAACUGGCAAAAACAUGGGAGUGUUUUCAUUAAAGGAAUCCACUUGAAAGCUACAGCCGUUAUCAAGCAGGAGCUAAAGCGCGGUGUAAAGCCAACUGUCCAUAGGUUUACAAUUGAUGAUGUUUCCAAACCUUCCAUAAAGUUUACUGGAAUUAGUAGCUUUAUUCAAGGAUUGGUGGGAAAUAUUGGCACUAUUGUGGUCCGAAUUAUUCCAAAACUGAUUAACAAUGCUUUGGAAAAGCCAUUACACGUUGCUCUAGAGAAGGCUAUUAAGGAUAUUUUUAGUGUGAAUUCACGAAAUUCUUCUAAUUAACGUUCCAGAGCUAAAAACUUUGACGUGUUACUUAUGUUGCAGAAACUGUGGAUGUAUUUUGUAUUAAUGUCUGUCUACAACAAUAACGAAAUAAAUUUAGCACUAACGUCAAAGUAAAAUUAGUAUCAUUUGAAGAGUUAUCACUGGAAUAAUCGUAAAUAAACUAAUUUGGCGUAAUUUUGACACCAUACAAUAAAAUAUAUCUUUAAUUUACUAACACUUAA